GAUGCCCCAUAUAAGAUCCAUAUGCCCUCUAAUCAUGGGACACGUCCAACUUGAUCAAAUCAAGGUGGCGCCCAAAAAUAACUAUCAAGGAUAUUAAUUAGGGACUUGCACCCUUAAUUUAUUUGAUCCAAAACCUUAGAUACCUAACAAUUGGAGUCUAAUGAAUCUAAUUUAUUUAGCUUAUUAGUAGAUAAUUAAGUUUGAAUUAUCUAAUCAAAUAAGAAAUCCAAACAUAAAGAAAAAAUUAAGUUCAACCAUGUGCUAGGAAGGUUACUUCGAACCC
Molecule: long non-coding RNA, 283 nt
Filed under: Elaeis guineensis (African oil palm)
Lineage: Eukaryota; Viridiplantae; Streptophyta; Magnoliopsida; Arecales; Arecaceae
Description: long non-coding RNA (EGUI_LNC053725)
Source: RNAcentral